RNAcentral lists this ribosomal RNA (377 nucleotides) under uncultured eukaryote. RNAcentral's name for it is "partial 18S ribosomal RNA". It matches the Rfam family "Eukaryotic small subunit ribosomal RNA", at positions 592 to 976 of the family's 1831-position model. The record is from RNAcentral.
CAAUAGCGUAUAUUUAAGUUGCUGCAGUUAAAAAGCUCGUAGUUGGAUUUCGGGUGGGAAUGGCCGGUCCGCCGUUUCGGUGUGCACUUGCUACGCCCACCUUGCUGCCGGGGACGUGCUCUUGAGUUCACGCUCGGGACACGGAGUCGGCGAGGUUACUUUGAGUAAAUUAGAGUGUUCAAAGCAGGCCUACGCUCUGGAUACAUUAGCAUGGAAUAACACGAUAGGACUCUGGCUUAUCUUGUUGGUCUGUAGGACCGGAGUAAUGAUUAAGAGGGACAGUCGGGGGCAUUCGUAUUUCAUUGUCAGAGGUGAAAUUCUUGGAUUUAUGAAAGACGAACUACUGCGAAAGCAUUUGCCAAGGAUGUUUUCAUUAA